RNAcentral lists this ribosomal RNA (640 nucleotides) under Hydora sp. 11 MF-2023a. Its description in RNAcentral is "partial large subunit ribosomal RNA". It matches the Rfam family "Eukaryotic large subunit ribosomal RNA", at positions 653 to 1247 of the family's 3401-position model. The record is from RNAcentral. Lineage: Eukaryota; Metazoa; Arthropoda; Insecta; Coleoptera; Elmidae.
CUUGAAACACGGACCAAGGAGUCUAGCAUGUGCGCGAGUCAUUGGGACUUGCGAAACCUAAAGGCGAAAUGAAAGUGAAGGCGCGCCUCGCGCGCGCCGAGGGAGGAUGGGCCGCGCCUCGGUGCGGCCCCGCACUCCCGGGGCGUUUCGUUCUCAUCGCGAGAUGAGGCGCACCCAGAGCGUACACGCUGGGACCCGAAAGAUGGUGAACUAUGCCUGGUCAGGACGAAGUCAGGGGAAACCCUGAUGGAGGUCCGUAGCGAUUCUGACGUGCAAAUCGAUCGUCGGAACUGGGUAUAGGGGCGAAAGACUAAUCGAACCAUCUAGUAGCUGGUUCCCUCCGAAGUUUCCCUCAGGAUAGCUGGCGCUCGCUUUGCGAGUCUCAUCCGGUAAAGCGAAUGAUUAGAGGCAUUGGGGUCGAAACGGCCUCAACCUAUUCUCAAACUUUAAAUGGGUGAGAUCUCCGGCUUGCUUGAAACGUGAAGCCGCGAGAUAUCUUAAUUCGGAUCAGAGUGCCAAGUGGGCCAUUUUUGGUAAGCAGAACUGGCGCUGUGGGAUGAACCAAACGCCGAGUUAAAGCGCCCAAAUCGACGCUUAUGGGAUACCAUGAAAGGCGUUGGUAACUUAAGACAGCAGGACG